Molecule: ribosomal RNA, 468 nt
Filed under: uncultured bacterium
Lineage: Bacteria
Description: partial 16S ribosomal RNA
Rfam family: Bacterial small subunit ribosomal RNA
Source: RNAcentral
GACGAACGCUGGCGGCGUGCUUAACACAUGCAAGUCGAACGGAAAGGCCCUGCUUUUGUGGGGUGCUCGAGUGGCGAACGGGUGAGUAACACGUGAGUAACCUGCCCUUGACUUUGGGAUAACUUCAGGAAACUGGGGCUAAUACCGGAUAGGAGCUCCUGCUGCAUGGUGGGGGUUGGAAAGUUUCGGCGGUUGGGGAUGGACUCGCGGCUUAGCAGCUUGUUGGUGGGGUAGUGGCUUACCAAGGCUUUGACGGGUAGCCGGCCUGAGAGGGUGACCGGCCACAUUGGGACUGAGAUACGGCCCAGACUCCUACGGGAGGCAGCAGUGGGGAAUAUUGCACAAUGGGCGGAAGCCUGAUGCAGCAACGCCGCGUGCGGGAUGACGGCCUUCGGGUUGUAAACCGAUUUCGCCUGUGACGAAGCGUGAGUGACGGUAAUGGGUAAAGAAGCACCGGCUAACUACGUG